ACUUAAAAAAUACACAAAGAUUCGAGGCCGCCUUCGUAAAAGAGUUCUACGAACAACCGCCACGGUGAUCUAACCGUUUAAGAAGCUUGAAGCUAGUCGCGAUGCCGGCUACAGUAGAAGAUGAAGCGCCCAACAUCAUCAUCAAAGGCACGGUGCCAUGUGCGAAGUUGCUCUCGCAUAUUCGAAACAUCACCGACUCGACUCAACUCGUAGAGGGACCGACUGAAAUCCGUCAGUACCUCGGACUUUGGCUGAACCUCCCCUGACAAACUGACGUCAUGAGGCUCUGAAGAGGCAAUCUCCGCAUCAUGUGGGGUCCACGACAACGGCGUACAUAACGGCAUCAUCUGACCAGGGCGACUUUACCGACGACAGCUUCUAAUACAUUAAUGUGUGUUUAUUUAAUAUUCGACAUUAUUAUAUAAUCUUCAUAGAUAAUAUCCCAGAUAUAAGUGCGCACUUAUGCAUAACGAAUAUAAUAAUUUUCGCCACGUGAUUUUGGUACAAGAGACGGAGACUAUCGUACACCUAAGUGCUUCACGGUAGUAUUUGUUUACGAGGAAUAUACAUCUUCUGUUUGGGCUUGCUGUAAAGUUCACGAUCACGAAAAGUUUUGCCUUAUUGGGAAAAAGUUGGAUGCUCUAACAUCUGUACGCAAAUACCUGAGACGCAGAGUGGAUCGUCUGGAUGUGGAAAAAUUCGGGUGUUAUCACUAGUUCUCCGACUAGUGAUAAAUGGAGGCAUAGGAGUAUAUAGUAUAGUUCGAGAUAAGGGUGUAAUAGGCAGGGUUCAUGCGAACGGUAACAGAUUGAUUAUUUUUAAAAUGAAAAGUAGACAUAGACGGGAGACAGAAGGUAAUAUAUCACUAAUUGACUCCAAGAUUUCUGAACUUUUUAUACUUUUUUUAAUAACUUUUCAUACAAUAAUAAUGUAAUGAUAAAAUUUUCUAUCAUUUUGUCUCAAUAGACAAAAAGUAAUAUGAUGAUAUUAGCAAAAUUUCAAUGGAGCAUUAAAAUUGCAACUUUGAUCGACAUAGAUGCGCAUUUAUGAAACGAGUAAUAAUACAGUAUAAAUACUUUCCCCUGUGUGAAUUUGAAGGUAUUUAUCUUGAUGUUAUGGGAACGGUCACACAGGUGAAGGUUUUAAUUAAUCAAUUAUAUUAUUAGUAUAGAAUAUAGAUCCUUACGUUCUCACAGUCGAAAGAAACGGCUGAGAGUCACUUUACACCACAUUCAGAUCGGACCUAAAGAAUUGCAACAAUUGGACAUUUACGGGAAAAUUCAACACAAUAAAGAGAUUAGCAUACUUUCUCCGAUUCUUUCGAUCCGUGUUAAUGCUAUUCGCCACAUUUCAGAGGAAAUGUCUUAGGGAAGGAUUUUGGAAGUACAUUUUCAGAGAAUGGCAUUUAUACUCUUGAUUGGACUAGAUGUUGUGAUGGUGUUUUGGAUCGCGAUGUUCAGACGGCGCAAGUUUGCUGUAGUUGAGAAUGUCUGUCGGAUCAACUUUAUUAUUCAUACACGAUUGCGGUCAAGCCCUUAUAUUAACAGCUUGGAUGUUCGGAAACUGUUUUAUUGACGCCAAAUGUGACGUUAAAUUUACCGAUUGAGACGACUGACGAGACUGUCUUAUUUACUAUGGCCAAUCGAGUUGGAGUAAAUAGCAUGGCGCUUGUCUUCCCGGACUUGACGAUUAAAAACAAGUGCUUGCUCCCGUUAAUUAAGAAAACAUAUAAAUGCGAAGAUACUCACCAAAGGAAUUUUGCCAUAUUUACAAUUUAAUAUUUCUGACUUCAAGGAAAACUCGCUUAGCAAUAAUUACGACAAAUUUAUUGUCGAGAAGUAGCUGAUUCCCGAAACUCGGGAUAGUUAAACAGAUAACAUAAUUGGACGGACUAUCAUAAUUUUCGCCAGAUAUACAUUUAUACACGAUUAUUUACUGAUAUAUAUGUGUCGUAUUUUUGAGAUGUUUGUUCAUGAUUCGUGGCAGUCGCAAUGGUUAAACGGUCAUGGGCAAAUAGUGUUUUUUAUACAAAAUAAUACAAAAAUAUGCGGUAGGACGGGUACAGAGAGGGAUUCAUACGAUGACUCGACGCUGCCAAUAAUGUUUGUUGAUCGAAGCGCGGACGGCUGCGUCGGACCGUUGUAUGCCCUCAGUUCGGAUCGUAUGAACAAAGCGAAACUCAUAGACCUCUAUAAAAGCAAUAACUGUUGUGUGUAUUUUGUUCGGAUUACUUUUGUCAUUCGCAAUAUAUUAUAACAGCAACCUAGAAACUACCUCAUGGUGCUCACGGUUAGGUUUCAGGAUCUCCUCGGCCACCCGGCCAAUACACCUUUUCACGGCUAUUUGGAGGCGAUCGCAGAAACUGGACGCGCUUUAUAAAUAUAGAUUAUUUUUUUA
Molecule: long non-coding RNA, 2397 nt
Organism: Vanessa atalanta (red admiral)
Lineage: Eukaryota; Metazoa; Arthropoda; Insecta; Lepidoptera; Nymphalidae
Exons: 4
Source: RefSeq, a predicted model, not a curated record